This 301-nucleotide ribosomal RNA is filed under the name uncultured bacterium. Its description in RNAcentral is "partial 16S ribosomal RNA". It matches the Rfam family "Bacterial small subunit ribosomal RNA", at positions 509 to 809 of the family's 1533-position model. The record is from RNAcentral.
CAGUAGCCACGGUAAUACAGAGGGUGCGAGCGUUAAUCGGAUUUACUGGGCGUAAAGCGUGCGUAGGCGGCUUUUUAAGUCGGAUGUGAAAUCCCUGAGCUUAACUUAGGAAUUGCAUUAGAUACUGGGAAGCUAGAGUAUGGGAGAGGAUGGUAGAAUUCCAGGUGUAGCGGUGAAAUGCGUAGAGAUCUGGAGGAAUACCGAUGGCGAAGGCAGCCAUCUGGCCUAAUACUGACGCUGAGGUACGAAAGCAUGGGGAGCAAACAGGAUUAGAUACCCCUGUAGUCCCUGUCUAUUAUAA